Molecule: non-coding RNA, 1851 nt
Organism: Petromyzon marinus (sea lamprey)
Lineage: Eukaryota; Metazoa; Chordata; Hyperoartia; Petromyzontiformes; Petromyzontidae
Source: RefSeq, a predicted model, not a curated record
CUCAUUUAAGGCUGAGUCGACCUAAGGGAUGCCCAGCACUGGUUUAGAUCAUCGUCACUGGUGUUGGCUGUGAGUGAGACUCGAACUCGGAUGGCCAGAUAGGCAAUUUGCCCUUCUGAAGAGGACCUUUGAAAUCAAGUUGUGCCGUUUCACAAACCCCCCACCCCUUACCCCUGGUGCCCAGCUGUUGUGGAGUCGCCCCACGUCUUCGGAGGACCGAACACAAAGCUUGCGCGUGCCAAUGGAGCCCCUGCAGAUGUUGGGCGCCUCUCAUCCCACGCCUCCUCACUUCUCUCCCUGCUCCUCCACUCCGCGAGAUGCCCUCGGCAAAACUGUGCAGACAAACGGUUUGAGAAACUGCUGGAAAUUCGAACACGGCGGUCGUUUCGUGUCGUCUGCCGGCGUGAAGGUGCGCGCAACACAUUGUCGGUUGGCCCUGAUCGAGGAGGCUUUGGCCAACUGUUUCGUCGUGCUGCGCAGUUUCUCACGAAAGUCAUCAACGCCGAGCCAAGUUGAGCCCCUUCCCGAUUUUCACGCACCCAGGAGGGGGGGAGAGGGCCGAGCGCGUUCCGUGGGGCGUUAAGCGAAAGCAAGGGUUUACGACGGGAGGGCCUGGGCCUAGCCAUCCGUCUCCCGCCUUCAUAAAGUCCUCAGCCUUGUAUCUCACCCAACUUAUCGAUUCCACAUUAUCAUUUGUCACGGGUCGCACUAAGUCAAGGGGAAAAUACAGACCUUAUUUUUUUGUUUCCGACCACCCCCAUCCCAUCCCACUCUCUGAGAACACAGGCUGUGUGGGAAGCAAAUUAUUUGUCGUUUCUUUUGGGGGUCCCCCGUGAUUGCGCCUUGAUUAAAAUAGAAGCAUCGUGUUAUCCGUAGCAAGGUCGCCUAGUGCACGAGAUGAUCUAGACUCUAGAGUCAAUCAAAUUUCAGGUAAAUUGUACAUUAAGCCUGAGUCGAAUGAAUAUAUUUGUAUAUUUUGUUGGGUUUACAUGGUGCGCAAAUUUAGGUUUUUAUUAUGGAAAAAGUUAAAUAGAUAGACUGGUAUUCUAGGUUGGGUCCCGAUGAGAUUGACUUUCAUAAGAGACAAUUAUUUUUUAUAAUCGAUAACAUUACCAGUUGCAGUAGUUCAAAGGCAUGGUGGUUUGCACACUGCGCUAAUAAUCCAAUGACAUAGGUUCGAUUACUGGCACGGCUAACGUCAGUGGCGAGUGAUGUCUGAGCUGGCCCUGGGUCCACCAACCCGCACUGACCAGUGUGGUAAAGUAUGGUCACACGACCCCCCCAUCAUUUACAUGCCCUAAGUAAAGCCUUCAUGCAGUCGUGAAUUGACAAGGGACUGUAAAUAAUAGCGAAAUGGACCGUCCCCAAAGAUGCGGUAUAAAAUCAUAUCUGUUAAAUUUGAAAAUGUUUUUCAUUUGUUUUAAAUAAAACUCAUGUUAGUCACUUCCUACGUAAUUGUUAGUCAUUAAGUUCAUCCAGAGCACGGCUGAAUUUGGCUAGGAUGUUUAAAAUUGGUAUUUUAAUGACUAAACAACAUGCGGAAAACCUCAGGAAUCAUAGUUUCGUUAUUUAAAAAUUCUACACAAAUCUAUUAUAUUUUCGCCAAAUUACACAUUGUGUUUGAAUGUGUGUACAUGUAUGUAUCAACGUUGUUUUGUGUUUCCGCUAAAUGGCUCAGAAGAAUUCCUUCCCGAAAAAGCAAAAGCGCUGGCAGCUCAAAUUUGUGAUCGCACGACCAUCAUCAACCUUGAUUCGUCAAAUUGCGUGAAAUUUUGCAGGUGGACCUCGUGAGGCGGUGUGUCCUGGGGGUUAAAGAGGGGCUCGGGCGAGCGUUAGUACCGGUCUCUUCGA